GCUGAAAAUCUAGCUCAAUUUAACCCAAAUGAAUCAAACCACCUCACCUAACUAAUUAAAACAUUCUAAUAAUCUAGUAGAGGAGAUCGAAAAACAAGCCGGAGCAAUAGAUACAGUACCGCAAGGGAAAGAUGAAAUAAAAAUGAAAAACUUACAAGCACAAAAAAAUAGAGAUAAACCCUCGUACCUUUUGCAUCAUGGUUUAACUAGUCUAAUCAAGCAAAAAGAAUUGCAGUCUGACCCCCCGAAACUAAGCGAGCUACUUCGGAGCAGCCUAAUGGGCACACCCGUCUCUGUUGCAAAAUAGUGGGAAGACUCCCAAGUAGCGGCGACAUACCUAUCGAGCUUAGUGAUAGCUGGUUACUCGAGAAACGGAUUUUAGUCCACCCUAAAGCCUUAUUUAUUACAAUAAAAAUAAAACCCAGCUUUAGAUUAAGUCAAAUAAGGUACAGCCUAUUUGACACAGGAAACAGCCUCAGCUGACGGGUAAGACAUUUAACAAUACACUCCCAGUGGGCCUAAGAGCAGCCACCUUUAAAAAGCGUCACAGCUUAGUUAAACCAUUUUUAUAAUUCCCCCUUUUUCUACUAACCCUCUCCCAGUAUCGAGUAAUUCUAUAACUUAUAGAAGAUUUUAUGUUAAAACUAGUAACAAGAAGAAUGCCCUUCUCUUAAAUGCAAACAUCAAUCAGGCAGGACAAACCACUGAUAAUUAACGCCCAUGAACCCACAUUAGUAACCCCACAAGAAAAACCUAAUUCCCCAUGCGUUAACCUAACACAAGAGCAUUUCAAGAAAGAUUAAAAGAAAAAGAAGGAACUCGGCAAAUAUUAACCCCGCCUGUUUAUCAAAAACAUCGCCUCCUGAUUAAAAAUAGGAGGUCCAGCCUGCCCAGUGACAUCUGUUCAACGGCCGCGGUAUCCUAACCGUGCGAAGGUAGCGUAAUCACUUGUUCUUUAAAUGAGGACUAGUAUGAAUGGCAUCACGAGGGUUAUACUGUCUCCUUUUUCCAAUCAGUGAAACUAAUCUCCCCGUGAAGAAGCGGGGAUAAAACCAUAAGACGAGAAGACCCUAUGGAGCUUUAAAUUUCUUCUCAAAUGCCCACCAGCCCACAAGGUUUAAAACCCCCUCCAAAAUAGUUAGGCACCAUGAGACAGAAUUUUAGGUUGGGGUGACCGCGGAGUACAAAACAACCUCCACAUUGAAAAGACCUCCAAACCCUGAGCAAUGGCCUACAACCCUAUGCACAAAAAAAAUUUACAUUUAUUGACCCAAUUUUUUGAUCAACGAACCAAGUUACCCUAGGGAUAACAGCGCAAUCCUCUUCAAGAGCCCCUAUCGCCAAGAGGGUUUACGACCUCGAUGUUGGAUCAGGGUAUCCCAGUGGUGCAGCCGCUACUAAUGGUUCGUUUGUUCAACGAUUAAAACCCU
This 1430-nucleotide ribosomal RNA is filed under the name Scinax acuminatus (Mato Grosso snouted treefrog). Its description in RNAcentral is "partial 16S large subunit ribosomal RNA". It matches the Rfam family "Bacterial large subunit ribosomal RNA", at positions 133 to 2597 of the family's 2925-position model. The record is from RNAcentral. Lineage: Eukaryota; Metazoa; Chordata; Amphibia; Anura; Hylidae.